AAAGAAGCCCUUUUUUGAUGCGCGGUGAGUUAGGGUGAAUUUCUUUGUUAUUGCUGUGUUGCCCUUGGUUCCUUAUUGUUUUGUACUUUCUAUGAAGUAACAGCCAUUUAAUUCUUUGCUUUAAAAUGUAAUUGUAUUAGAACAGCUUUCUAUAGCAUCAUUUGCCUGGACCAGUCCUUAACUCCUUAUUAUCAUGUGUACCUUGCCCAUAACACAUGCUCCAAACAUUGGAUAUAUCAGUUGUUCUCUUGUAGUAGUUCUGUUUGUUUAUUGGCAACCUAUAUGUUUAUCUGUUGUGAAUGGACAAAGAAGACUGUCAUUGAUUGGAAAAAUAGAAGCCCUUCAUAAUAGAUCGAUUUAUUGUUGAAAAUGCCAUUUUUGUUGAUAGUUCGUGUUUUAAACUUUUCAUUUCUACUUCUCUAAUAGCUUUUAGCUCUCAAUUCUCAUGCUAUUUAUACUUUUAAUUUUGUUGUUUGCUUGCUUU
RNAcentral lists this unclassified non-coding RNA (484 nucleotides) under Hevea brasiliensis (rubber tree). Lineage: Eukaryota; Viridiplantae; Streptophyta; Magnoliopsida; Malpighiales; Euphorbiaceae. The record is from RNAcentral.